AACGACGCUGGCGGCAGGCUUAACACAUGCAAGUCGAGCGCCCCGCAAGGGGAGCGGCAGACGGGUGAGUAACGCGUGGGAAUCUACCUAGCUCUACGGAAUAACCCAGGGAAACUUGGACUAAUACCGUAUACGCCCCUCGGGGGAAAGACUUUAUCGGAGUUGGAUGAGCCCGCGUUGGAUUAGCUAGUUGGUGGGGUAAUGGCCUACCAAGGCGACGAUCCAUAGCUGGUCUGAGAGGAUGAUCAGCCACACUGGGACUGAGACACGGCCCAGACUCCUACGGGAGGCAGCAGUGGGGAAUAUUGGACAAUGGGCGAAAGCCUGAUCCAGCCAUGCCGCGUGAGUGAUGAAGGCCCUAGGGUUGUAAAGCUCUUUCACCGGUGAAGAUAAUGACGGUAACCGGAGAAGAAGCCCCGGCUAACUUCGUG
RNAcentral lists this ribosomal RNA (431 nucleotides) under uncultured bacterium. RNAcentral's name for it is "bacterial SSU rRNA". It matches the Rfam family "Bacterial small subunit ribosomal RNA", at positions 33 to 507 of the family's 1533-position model. The record is from RNAcentral.